This 457-nucleotide ribosomal RNA is filed under the name uncultured bacterium. RNAcentral describes it as "SSU rRNA". It matches the Rfam family "Bacterial small subunit ribosomal RNA", at positions 26 to 518 of the family's 1533-position model. The record is from RNAcentral.
AGAAUCAACGCUGGCGGCGUGCCUAACACAUGCAAGUCGAACGAGAAAGGGGCUUCGGCCCUGAGUAAAGUGGCGCACGGGUGAGUAACACGUGACUAACCUACCCUGGAGUGGGGAAUAACUUCGAGAAAUCGAGGCUAAUACCGCAUAAUACCUAAGGGUCAAAGGAGUAAUUCGCUUUGGGAGGGGGUCGCGGCAGAUUAGCUAGUUGGCGGGGUAAUGGCCCACCAAGGCAGUGAUCUGUAUCCGGCCUGAGAGGGCGCACGGACACACUGGAACUGAAACACGGUCCAGACUCCUACGGGAGGCAGCAGUGGGGAAUUUGCGCAAUGGGGGAAACCCUGACGCAGCAACGCCGCGUGGAGGAUGAAGUCUCUUAGGACGUAAACUCCUUUCGACCGGACGAUAAUGACGGUACCGGAAGAAGAAGCCCGGCUAACUUCGUGCCAGCAGCCGC